CCUAUGAAAAGAGGACAUGUUAAGUUAUUACGUAGUGGGGAAAUUUUCUUAAGCCUGGAAACUCCACUGCAGUUCUGCAGCUUCACUAGCAAACCAAUAGGAAGCAGCGCUUUCCACUUACGUCAUCAUCUUCAAUCAGCGUCACCACUCUUCCGGGCUGCGGGGACAGAAAGAGAAAUGGGUCACGUCAUGGACAACGCCUGAAACAGUCUGAGCCAAGCAGUCCACAAAGAGCAGCAUCAACGCAGCCAAACUGUGCAAAUGACUCAAAUCUUAAUGAUGAAGGGAAGAGGUCUUACACCGUGAGAUGGAGCAACUCUUUGAAGAGAGAAAACCUGUGGGUUUGAUCCACUUCAGAUUCUUCCAUCUGCUUGACGGAUGCUUUCCCAAUUGUUUGUGGAUUUGAGGGACGCUGCAGAGAAAGCCACAGUUCCUGUUCUCACCAUUCUGGCCAGUUCUCACGAAUAAACCGUGAUCGUCUGACAAGGAAGCAUAAACAGGUUGAUUGGUUGGAGAGAGGACAAGAGAAUAUCUAUUGUUGUCGAUGGAAUGUGGAGAAUGCUGCUGUAUUAAAUAUGAAGCAGGAACGCUGCCAUGAUGUCAGCCCCUCAUUUUAUCAGCACCAUCAUCAUUUUUAGCUUUUUAUGAGUGAAGAAGGGUGAAAGCUACUGUGCAUGAGAACACAUUGGCAAAGCAACUGGAAAUGAACAACACAAACGUUUUAGACAAAAAUCUCACAUGGUGAAAUGCUGUUUCACUGUGAAGCCAAGUUAAUUAUGAUAUGAAAAAAACUGAAACUAACUUAUGGAGACGUUCCACCACGGCAGUCCAAUAAAACUAGUGGGAACAGUUCCUGUCAGAAGUGAUAAAUAUUCAGUAAUGUAAGGCCCAGAAAUGGUUUAGUAAAUAACAAGAAAGUCUUGUGGGAACAGGAACGAUCAAGGACUCAUCAUUCAAAUUACAAAAUGGAUUCUGAACAAUUAAAUGACAGUUUAGAACCUUCUGCAAAAGAAAUCUGAAAAAAUGACAGCAUUCAACAAGAAAGUCGCUAACAGCGAUGACUCAGUUUGUCCAUCUUUGGAGUCGUGGUUGUUGCUCUGUAGAAGUGAAGCUAAAUACUGCACAAAGAGAGCAAACUAUUUUCUGAUGGCUAAAUGAAAUCUCCCAAGAAUUUGCUUGUGUGCAUUAUUCAUCUUUCGGAACACUCUUGACAAAAUGUAACUCUUUGUUCAUGUGGACAUAAAGCUGUGACAUGUUCAGUUUUGGGCUUUUAGACUGCAGACAAUGAGAAGAAGGAAGCAGCAGAUUCUACUGUUAACGGAUAACACAUGGAUUCAUUUAAAGUCGCAACAGUUUUCACACAUCCUACUUGAAGACAUGACUUGGACGUAUGUUAUGGAAAAGCAACAGAAGCACAGGUGAAGCAGACUUACUCUUUACAUUGUGGGAACAUGACAGCAGAUACAGACGUAUUUAUCUGAUCCUGCUAAGCUGUUGGGACACCUGUUAUAUUGAUCAGGAGGCCUCAGUGAUUUUCACUCUCCGCAGUGCAGCUCAUAUUUGAAGUCCAUCUGGGCUUUAUCGUAAAACUAAUAUAAAUCUUGAUUUAAGUGAAGGGAAGCCAAUAUGUUGUAGCAGAUUGACAGUGACGUCGGCAGUAAGACCAGAGGAGGAAGGUAGAUUUAUGACCUACUCGUCAGAGGCACAGGUUCAGUUCCCGGCUGUGCAUUGGGUCCCUCUUAGUCACACCUGAAAGAGCUCCCUUAAGGAAGUCACUGGUGACCUACAUAAAAGAAAGUCAGUCAUUGGAUUGGAUUGGAGUCUCUCUGGAUUUCUCAUUUGCUCCAGUUGCAGGUGAAGGAAAUGACCUGCAGAGGUUGAGUAGUUAAGAUUUGUUGGACUCUUUGAUGCCAGCCAAAUGAAUGUGAAAGUUAAAUAUUGUAAAGUGUUCUAAAACCUGAAGUCCUUUGAUCUGAUGAAAACAUGUUUCUAGUUGUCUGUUAUUGAGACCCAACAGAAUUAAACUUUAUUAAAGUUCAUUUAAGAAACUAAAACAGAUUGUAAAUAAAGGCAAGAAUUAGUAUUGAAGAGGUUAGUAUGACUGGUCACUUCGAAAACCAGGGACAAUUGUCGAGUUCAUUGGUUCUGAAUUGACAUUUGGACUUCACAGGAGCAUAUUGCCCCUUAAAUCUCAUCUGUCUGCUUUGGUAAUGUUCUCCCCCAUGCACUGUUUUGGAACUUUCUUAUCCUUUCUCUGACGUUUCGUGUUUACUACAAACAGCAGUGCACCGGUACUGACCUGGCCUUUUGACGAGUACACUGGCAACAUGAACCAACAGGGUUGUUUAGCCGAGCUGCAAACUACAGGGAAGGUGUCGUCAUCGUCAUCAAAACUCACCUUUUUCUCAGAACAUCGUGGUCUGGAGGAGGGACGUGAGGUUGUGUUUUCGCUUAAUGCCAAGCACAAUGAGGGUUAGCUAAAAAUUAACGCUGUGUUAGUUGUCAGGCUAUAAAUAAUGGAUUGGGUUUGAGUGUAACUGAAAUUGAAGAGGGGCUCUGCAGAAUUGACUCUGCCUGCUUUUAGUGAAAAUCAAGCAAAGCACAACUGUAAAGUGAAUGGUAAAAACAAUAUCUAAUUUUUAGUGAUUUAAAUAACUUAAUGUUUCAAUUGCAAACAAUUUAAAAUAAUGCAUAUAUGGCUUUUCUGGAAAUUGGUAAAAGUGGAAGACCCCUGGAAUAUUGGGUGCAGUAUGUGGGUAAGUUAACGACAUUAUAGGGCCCAGGUGGAAAUGAUUCAGAAGUCAGACACAUGCUGUGAUUACGGACAUGAUCUCAGGGUAUAUAGAUUGUAGGAAUUUGCUGCUUUCUCCACACUUCAACUCUUGUAUCCAUGGAAACACAGGGUAUAUAGGCUAAAAUUAGUGACAGCAGCUCCUGAAGUUGAUAAAAGCAUUGAAUAUCCUUCACCAUGAACAGAGAACCGUCAUUACACAUUCAGACAAGUGGAGGGACUAACACCACUCUCUGAUAAUUAAUGCUCAGAAUGAAUUUAUGAGCAUUUAGUCCAGGAUCAAGAACACACAUUAGUGUAGUGUUGGCGAUCAUUCAGUGAAUGAAUGAAAAAAAAAAACAAAAAAAAAACG
Long non-coding RNA from Scatophagus argus, 3143 nucleotides. RefSeq lists it as uncharacterized. The record is from RefSeq and is a predicted model, not a curated record. The transcript is spliced from 3 exons. NCBI's taxonomy places the organism in Eukaryota, Metazoa, Chordata, Actinopteri, Scatophagidae.